This is a long non-coding RNA of Halichondria panicea, 376 nucleotides long. RefSeq lists it as uncharacterized. Lineage: Eukaryota; Metazoa; Porifera; Demospongiae; Suberitida; Halichondriidae. The record is from RefSeq and is a predicted model, not a curated record. The transcript has 2 exons.
UCGAGGCUAGUGUGUCACCAUCCUACUUACGAUUUUUAAUGUUAUUCAUUGCUAGUCAAAAGGUCAUUUGCUGUUUUUAAAGCUAUAUUUUGGGGCCUCAAGAUCAUUCUUUCAGCGUUCAAGCCAAUCAAGAUGUGAAGCAAAAAGCUCGUAAGAAAAAAUUCAAGCCAUCCUCGAUCUCAACCAGAUCCUACCCUCUCUCAACAAAACAAAAGCAUCUAGGAAGAUAUAAAUUCAACCAUAAGACACUUAGUAACCUCACCUGUCACCUCAUCAUUAAGUAUACAUAAUUAUAUACAUGUUUAUUUUUGCUUGUGUGUAUACACUGUAGUUUUGCAACCACUUACUUUAAACAUUAUAUAAUAUAAUUUAUUGA